RNAcentral lists this ribosomal RNA (360 nucleotides) under uncultured soil bacterium. RNAcentral describes it as "bacterial SSU rRNA". It matches the Rfam family "Bacterial small subunit ribosomal RNA", at positions 26 to 384 of the family's 1533-position model. The record is from RNAcentral.
AGAUUGAACGCUAGCGGGAUGCUUUACACAUGCAAGUCGAACGGCAGCGCGGACUUCGGUCUGGCGGCGAGUGGCGAACGGGUGAGUAAUAUAUCGGAACGUGCCCAGUAGCGGGGGAUAACUACGCGAAAGCGUGGCUAAUACCGCAUACGCCCUACGGGGGAAAGGGGGGGAUUCUUCGGAACCUCUCACUAUUGGAGCGGCCGAUAUCAGAUUAGCUAGUUGGUGAGGUAAAGGCUCACCAAGGCGACGAUCUGUAGCUGGGUUGAGAGGACGACCAGCCACACUGGGACUGAGACACGGCCCAGACUCCUACGGGAGGCAGCAGGUGGGGAAUUUUGGACAAGUGGGGGAAACCCU